Molecule: ribosomal RNA, 252 nt
Filed under: uncultured bacterium
Lineage: Bacteria
Description: partial 16S ribosomal RNA
Rfam family: Bacterial small subunit ribosomal RNA
Source: RNAcentral
UACGUAGGUGGCGAGCGUUGUCCGGAUUUACUGGGUUUAAAGGGUGCGUAGGCGGUCCGUUAAGUCAGCGGUAAAAUUGCGGGGCUCAACCCCGUCGAGCCGUUGAAACUGGCAGACUUGAGUUGGCGAGAAGUACGCGGAAUGCGCGGUGUAGCGGUGAAAUGCAUAGAUAUCGCGCAGAACUCCGAUUGCGAAGGCAGCGUACCGGCGCCAGACUGACGCUGAGGCACGAAAGCGUGGGGAUCGAACAGG